GAUGAAGAACGCAGCGAAAUGCGAUAAGUAAUGUGAAUUGCAGAAUUCAGUGAAUCAUCGAAUCUUUGAACGCACAUUGCGCCCGCCAGUAUUCUGGCGGGCAUGCCUGUUCGAGCGUCAUUUCAACCAUCAAGCCCCCGGCUUGUGUUGGGGACCUGCGGCUGCCGCAGGCCCUGAAAAGCAGUGGCGGGCUCGCUGUCACACCGAGCGUAGUAGCAUACAUCUCGCUCUGGGCGUGCUGCGGGUUCCGGCCGUUAAACCACCUUCAUAACCCAAGGUUGACCUCGGAUCAGGUAGGAAGACCCGCUGAACUUAAGCAUAUCAAUAAGCUGAGGA
RNAcentral lists this unclassified non-coding RNA (336 nucleotides) under soil metagenome. RNAcentral describes it as "partial contains 5.8S ribosomal RNA, internal transcribed spacer 2, and large subunit ribosomal RNA". The stretch from base 1 to 120 matches the Rfam family "5.8S ribosomal RNA", at positions 35 to 154 of the family's 154-position model. The record is from RNAcentral.